CCUACGGGAGACUGCAGUGGGGAAUAUUGCACAAUGGGGGAAACCCUGAUGCAGCGACGCCGCGUGAGCGAAGCAUUAUUUCGGUAUGUAAAGCUCUAUCAGCAGGGAAGAAAAUGACUGUACCUGAGUAAGAAGCUCCGGCUAAAUACGUGCCAGCAGCCGCGGUCAUACGUAUGUAUCAAGCGGUAUCCGGCUUUACUGGGGGUAAAGGGAGCGUAGGGGGCCUGCCAAGUCUGAUGUGAAAUACCGGGGCUCAACCCCGGGGCUGCAUUGGAAACUGGCAGGCUGGAGUGCAGGAGAGGUAGGCGGAAUUCCUAGUGUAGCGGUGAAAUGCGUAGAUAUUAGGAGGAACACCAGUGGCGAAGGCGGCUUGCUGGACGGUGACUGACGCUGAGGCUCGAAAGCGUGGGGAGCAAACAGGAUUAGAUACCCCUGUAGUC
This 440-nucleotide ribosomal RNA is filed under the name uncultured bacterium. Its description in RNAcentral is "partial 16S ribosomal RNA". It matches the Rfam family "Bacterial small subunit ribosomal RNA", at positions 338 to 795 of the family's 1533-position model. The record is from RNAcentral.